Molecule: non-coding RNA, 267 nt
Organism: Vicia faba (fava bean)
Lineage: Eukaryota; Viridiplantae; Streptophyta; Magnoliopsida; Fabales; Fabaceae
Source: the annotation of a GenBank genome assembly
AUGGGAAUAGGGUUAGAAACUGUGACGUCUGAGCUUCUUCGUCCUUCCAACGGUGGCACGGUACUUCCAUCAACGACGAUUGCUCCGAACUUCUCCUCUUCGUCUCUCAACCUUGAUCCAAACAACCUUUGUCCAGUCUCAUCUCAUCUCUUCACCGUCAAUUCUCACUCAAAUCUCCAUCACGUUUCAGUUCCGCUUUCCUCUCGUGUAUCACCUUCAUCACUUCGCGAUUUCGUCUCAAAUUCUGAAAACACGCAAAAAUCCUGA